RNAcentral lists this long non-coding RNA (5752 nucleotides) under Nicotiana benthamiana. RNAcentral's name for it is "long non-coding RNA (NBEN_LNC016001)". Lineage: Eukaryota; Viridiplantae; Streptophyta; Magnoliopsida; Solanales; Solanaceae. The record is from RNAcentral.
GCCGGAGAUGGAAUUCUUUCCCAUUUCCACAAUUAACUCUAUCUCCCUCCUCACCAAAAACAAAGCACCUAGAAAUCUUCCUCCACUCCCCUGCCACGGUUCCUUGCCCAAACGCCACCCUCCCGUCCUCUGCCACCACUGGUCUAGUGGCACCGCCAACCACUGCUCAUGCCACCCAAAAUCAAACCCUCUCUCUUCUCUUUCAAGGUUAGGUAUCUACAUAUAUUAAUUUAAGUUAUCUUAAUUAUUUCAAUUAUAUAAAUUAAAGUUUAGUUAAUGUUUCAUUAAAUUUAGGUUUUCCUCCUAUUGAUUAUAUUUAUGCUAGCAUUUUCUAUAUUAGAAGAUUAUGAUUAUGCUAGGUUUACAACUUAUGACAGAUUUCGUUAAAUAUUUAAAAAAAAAUUAAGAACAAAGUUAUAUGUAUGACUUAAGACAUAGAUAAUUAGAUUGUAAACCUUUUAAAAGUAGAAAGAGGCUAUAAUAUUUGAAUAAAAGAAUAAAUAAUCUAAAAUAGUAACUAGCGCCACUUAGACGCAACAAAUGUUUCAAAAUUAUUUUUAUUGUCACAUAGUAUUUUUAAUCCAUUCUAAUUAAGUGUGAUAGUCUAAUUAUGACUAAGGCUAGGGUUAGCUAAUUUUAUAUUUUAAUUAUAUUGCCCUUUAAUGGUCUGAUUGAAUUUAGAAAAACUUAUUUGGGGAUAUAUGUGAAUUUUUAAAUUAAUAAGUACUCAAACUAUUUAAAUUUAUUAUAUUGUUACUAAAUUUUAUUGUGUAACUUAAACUAUAAAUCAAUGUAAAUAGUCAAUUAAUAUAACAUGCGAUUUAUAUUUUAGUGAAGUACUAGAAAAAUUAAUGUAAAACCAACGGUAGAAAAAUUAUUGAUUUACAACUAAUAAUGAAGUACUAGAAACAUAAAUGGCAGCAAGUAGUAAACGAGUAAUAAAGAAACAAUAUAAUUCGAACAUCGAUGACAUGUAAAUGAACUCAAAUGCUCAACAAGGAAGAGGUUUUACAAUAACAAUAGCCCAUGGCUACACCACAAAGGGGGAAAGGAAUAUCAACAACAAUAAUAAUGUAAAAUACCCAACAAGGAAAAGGCUUUACAAUAACAAUUUUGCCUCAACGUGAUAACGGCUUUCACAACUUCAAUACUAAUAACUCAACAAUGAGAAAGAUAAUGUAUAACUACGAUAUUAGACAAGAAUUACUCACAAUGAAAGAGAUAACAUGUAGCAACGACUUCAAAUAAUAAAAAUCAACAAUGAAAAAGAUAACAUGAACAAUAACUUCAAAUAAUGGUAAUAGACAAUGAAAGAGAUAACAUGAACGAUAACUAAAAAUAAUAGUAAUCAAAAUGAAAAAGGUAACAUGAACAAUAACUUCAAAUAAUGAUAAUCAACAAUGAACAAGAUAGGAUGUAACAAUAAAAGAGGCAACAUGUUCAACUAAAGCAUGAGAGCAAUUUAUCGAUUAGGAUGUAGAACGGUUGUUAAAGAAAUCAUUUUAGGUAUGUAAGGAUAGACUAACACAAAUAAGAAUAUAAUGACUAUGAUAAAUUUAGAACAUGAUAUGGCAUUUCAAUUAAGGCAUGAAAAUAGUCUAAGUAGCCUAAAUCGAUCAAAAUAUCACAUAUAACAUGUGUAACCAUUCGUCACCUUGCGUAUCCAACUUUCACAUAGCACAAAUGAAUUAAUCAAUACCAGUCUUAUAAAGUUAGGCAAGAUAUUUACCUCAACUUGGCCAACUCAACCCUCCAAACUAGCCUUUCCCUUAAUAUUCGCCUCAACACGGCUCAAAUCUAACAAAAAAAUUGACUCAACAACAUCAAACAAUGCAAGAGAAACCAAUUACAAUAAAUAAAACUAUGAUCUUUACAUUUUUUCCAAAAAGUCAACACCGGCCCCGCAUUGGAUUUUAAAUCCAAGCUUACCCUAUCAAACCCCUAACUAAUACAAACUCACACGAACAAAAAACGACUCAAUCGGAGUCUGAUAGCUCAACCAAUUCGCCAAAAUUUCACUCUUGGGUGUUCAUAACGUAAGAGUCCAACCCACACUAGUUGGGUCCCGCAUCUCCUGAAUAUCCUUUCAAAACUCUCUAAAUUCGAGUAUGUUGUUCUCCUAAUAUAGGAGAACAUGACCCCAAAAGGAAUCAGAGUAUAACUGCCACUAACUCAUUUUUAAUUUUUAAAAUUAAGGACAUAACCCGAGGUCUUGAUUUAAAGAAUUAAAUGAAAUUUCAAUUAAAAUCAUGGAUUAAAGCUUAAACCAAGUGAAUGAAUCAAAUAAAAAUACUUAGGUUAUGGUUUAGACUUUAACCAACGGAAGAAACAUGAAGCACAUCCUUGAAUUCUCUCAAUCCCAAAUUUUCAAGAUGGAAAAAACUCCAACAACACUAAUAGCCAAAAAAACCCUGCUAUUCUGCCUCUUUUCUUGUGUCAAACAAACCCCGAAACUAAUUUUUGAUGCCUCCAAUAGAUUCCUCGUGAAAUUUCAUUCAAGUUAGGCUUUUUAAUCACUCCAUUUAACCUUAUAAUGAAGAAGAUAUGUUGGUUUCGAUAUUUUAAAAUAGUACAGAUUUUUAAAUACGAAUUUAGAGGCAAUAUCGUAAUUAAUCUAAAAAAUAUGCAACCCAAUUCUUAGCAAAAUGGCCAUAAUUCCUCAUACGAUGUCAAAACUUGAUGAUUUCAGUUAUUAUGCUUCCAAAAUUACGAUACGGAUAAAAUGGUUUAGUUGAAACAUGAAUCAAAGAUCAUUUGCUAAAAUGGUAAUCUUUAUGCUCAAAUCGAUGUCGAAACUGAAAACAACCACCAUGCAACCCAAACUUAUCCAAAACUCAUUAGAAUUUAACCAAAACUUUGUGGACGUGUCCAAAGUCAUCAUACAAGCUUAUCAGUGUUUUUUGCCAUAUCGCGUAUAACGGGAAUUGAACCCCUUCCGAUGUUGAGGGUAAAUGGAAUAAUUAAAGCCUAAUUCUGAGUCCAUUUACCCAAAAGUUAAAUCUUGAUCAACUCAUUCAACUUAAAAUUUCUAAAACGAGAAUUAUUCUUCCAAAUCAAUACCGUGAAAACUGAAUGCAUGCAAGUCAUAAUACAUAAUAUGAAGCUAAUCAAAGUCUUAAACUUCCGAAUAAAAUGCUAAAGCUUAGAACCGCUCGCAUCGUUACAACCCUAGAAAGUUUUGAGCUUAUUUUUCAAACGUUUGCAAUUUGAAGAAUUAUAGAGUUUUUUAGUUUGACUCAUAGUUGACUUUGGUGAUAUUCGAUUCUGAAUGUUGUUCUAAAAGUUGGAACGGGUUCUAAAAAUUUAGAUAUAAUCUAGUGGUUAGGCUUGAAUCGAACAGGUGUUUGGAAGUUUGAAAGUUCUUGAGCUUAAGAGAAGUUCAACUUGUGGUUUGACCUUUCAUUCAUUGAUAUGAUGUAUAUAGUACGUGUUUGAAGACUUUGGAUAGGUCGCGGUAGUAUUUACGAACUUAUUGGUAGAGUUGGACGGGGUCUCGGGUAGCUCGGGUGAGUUUCAGACCACCCGGAGUAUGUUUGGAGUUGGAUGAUGUGCUGGUUGUGAUGUUGAUCGCGUUCACAAGGGGAUUCUCGUGUUCAGGAUGAAGGAUUUGGAGCUGAGAAGGAUUCUUCGCGUUCAUGCCGCCAUCGUGUUCGCUAUGGCUUGUGUCUUUGUUCUUCACUUUCGCGUUUGGAUGGCCAUGUUCACGAAUAGGAGCAACGAGUUGAGGGCUUUAGCCUUCGCAUCCGCAAGGGAUUAGUCGCGUUCGAUAAGAGACUAAUAGGGAAGGGUUGCAUUAGAGAGACGGGCUUUGAAAUUACAAAGAGGAAUUUCAGGCUGAAGCAUUUUUUGUUUUGUGCAUGCGAGGUAUGGACCGCGCUUGGGAAGAGUACCCAUGGACAAAAUAUCUAAGUUUUGUAUUUCUGGAUUUUAGUCUAUUCUCGUAUUUUGAAUCCUAGUCUUGAAGAUGGGCAAUUUUACUUGGAGAUUUUUCACAAAAGACUUUGGGGUAAGUGAUUUCUACUUAUUUUUAAUAUUAUUUUUAAAAUCUACAUGUCUUAACAACACCCAAAACAUGGAUUUUGAGGUAAAUUUAGCAGGGUUUCUCACAAUUUAAAAGAGGAAAAAUUAAGAAUUUGAGCUAAAAUUUGAACUUGGAUUUGAAAACGAAAUAUAUAUUUGAACUCGUGGGGUUAUAGGUAGUUGGGAUCAACUCAUUGACUCAGUUUUUAUCAUGUAGACCCGAGUUACCUUUUAUUGAUUUUUUGGAAGCUGAUCAAAGAUGGAAACUUUAUUGUUUGGAAUUGAUUCUUAUGACCUUGUUUGAUAUUUUGAGUUGUAUUUGACUAGAUUUGAGACAGCUAUAGGUGGUUACUAAGGGAAAGGCAAUUUUUGAAGGUUGAUUUGGGCUUGCUAAGGUAAGUAUCUUGUCUAAUCUUGUGUUCUAAUGUGUGAAAAGCAACGUGUAUGCGAGUGACAAGCGUAUAUGCAGGUGCUAUGAGUGAUUUAUGACCCGAUUAGACUUUAAUCUUUUAUUAUUUUGAUUGUGUGCUCUAUGAUACAUUUUAAUCACUUGUAUGACUAUGUAAACUUACUCUUUCAUACUAGAGAUCAUGUUUAGGAUUAUUAUCUCAUAAUUAUGAAAUUAUUGAUAUAACUGAUUUAGUUGCGGUCAUAUCUCACAUCUUGAGCAUAUAUUCGCACUUUAUUAUCAUUAUUAUUAUUAUAUUAUUAUUAUUAUUAUUAUUAUUAUGUUAUUAUUAUUAUUAUUAUUAUUAUUAUUAUGUCCUUGUGUACCUUAUUGAUGAAUUGUGAGCAUAGGUCUCUUUAUGAUAAAUUGGUAUCUUAUAUUGUUAUGAUUAUAGCACAUAUAGACAUAUUGAGCGAAUUAGUUUGAUGUUGGCACUAUGUAUCUUCCAUACACAUAUUGUGGUGUUGUGGCACAAGGUCUUUACCGUGAACUAUGAUGAUAUAGUUACUGUUUUGCAUGAUUAUAUUAUAUUGUGCAGCGUGUGGAUUCUGAUCCACCCCUAGGUUCGCCUUCUCAUAUUUCUCUAUUAAUGGCGUACACGCAGAUUAUGGUAAAUUGACUGCUGUUGGUGGAUUCUAAUGUAGAAUCCGAUGAUGGAGAAUUUUAAGCAUAAAGAUGGAAGGUUUGACCAUGCAAGUGAAUCCUUUAUGCUUUAUUAAGCAUUUGGUAAGCUUUUAUGUUGACUUUUAACAUGCUACUAUAUGCCUAUAUUAUUUGUAGAUGACUCGAUUGCCAAGGCCGAUUUAUCUAUAAUGAGUUGAUAUCUCUUGAUUUGGUAGUUGAUGAUAUUGCAUCUUGUUAUAUUCUUAUUGUGAGUACUAUAAUUGCACAAAUUAUUGAUUAGUGAGUAUCAUAUAAUUUUAUCAUCGUCACUACUCCACCAAGGCUAGUCUUGGUACUUACUAAGUACACGUUAUUCCAUACUCAUACUACAUUUUUGCAUAUCUUGUACAGAUUCGGGCAUUAGCGGCAGCGGAUCUUAGGAGUGAACAUUGUUUGCUGAUAGAGAUGGUUUAAAGUAGUGCUGCUUGAUCAUUGUAGACCCUUGGAGUCUCGUUCCCUUAUCUUCAUACUACUAUUCAUACAUUUAGAUAGUAUUCUACUAUUGAAAUAUCUCCUUGUAUUCCGUUAUAAAGCUCAUGAUUUUGUACUACCUGGUUUUGAGAAAUUGAUAUUAUGGUAUCCGUGUAUUAGCUAUUGUUUAAGAUUUAUUUUGCUAAUUAU